RNAcentral lists this transfer RNA (86 nucleotides) under Candidatus Uhrbacteria bacterium. RNAcentral describes it as "tRNA-Leu". It matches the Rfam family "tRNA". From Rfam's summary of the family: Transfer RNA (tRNA) molecules are approximately 80 nucleotides in length. Their secondary structure includes four short double-helical elements and three loops (D, anti-codon, and T loops). Further hydrogen bonds mediate the characteristic L-shaped molecular structure. tRNAs have two regions of fundamental functional importance: the anti-codon, which is responsible for specific mRNA codon recognition, and the 3' end, to which the tRNAs corresponding amino acid is attached (by aminoacyl-tRNA synthetases). tRNAs cope with the degeneracy of the genetic code in two manners: having more than one tRNA (with a specific anti-codon) for a particular amino acid; and 'wobble' base-pairing, i.e. permitting non-standard base-pairing at the 3rd anti-codon position. Lineage: Bacteria; Candidatus Uhriibacteriota. The record is from RNAcentral.
GCGGAUGUGGCGGAAUGGUAGACGCGCUAGGUUCAGAGCCUAGUGUUCGCAAGAGCGUGAGGGUUCGAGUCCCUCCAUCCGCACCA